AUGAGGAACUGCUUUGUGUCAUUGACGGGAACUGCGACGACGGUGCCCUCGACCUCUCAGUGCGAGGGCAAGAUCCUCCAGUCAGAAGAUUUCAGGCGCUUCGCCUUCAAGGAGCUCAAGAGGGCCACCAUGAACUUCUGGCCGGAUGGCUUGCUCAGUGACGGCCACUUUGGGUCAGUGCACAAAGGCUGGGUGAACGAGGCUACCUUCGCCCCGGCCAGCUGGGGCACCGGCAUGCCCAUCACCGUCAAGAAGCUCAACCAGGGAAGCGUCCAGGGCCACAUGGAAUGGCUGGUCGGUGCUUCUCAGUACCAAUCAAUCCCAAUUCAUUCAUCUCUUCAAUUCUGCAUAUAUGCUGAAGUGAAAUACCUUGGCCAAUUGUCGCACCCCAAUCUGGUGAAGCUCCUAGGCUACUGCAAUGAAGACCGUUCUCAGUGUCUUCUUGUCUACGAGUUCCUGCCACAGGGGAGCUUGGAGAACCAUCUUUUUAGGAGGGGCUUACAUUUCCAGCCACUGUCAUGGCAUCUGAGGAUGAAGGUAGCUCUUGGGGCAGCCAAGGGGCUCGCGUUUCUCCAUAGCGGCAAUGUCCCUGUCAUCCAACAUGAAUUCAAUACAUCAAAUGUUCUUCUCGAUUCCAGCUACAAUGCAAAGCUGUCUGAUUUUGGGUUGGCGAGGAUGGAACCGAUGGAUGAUCUGAGCACAGAUGUACAUGCAGCCCCUGAAUAUGUUGAUACAGGGCAUCUGACGAUGAAGAGCGACGUGUACAGCUUCGGUGUGGUGCUGCUGGAGAUUCUAGCAGGCCGGCCAGCCCUAGACAAGAACCGGCCCUCCAUCGAGCAUAACCUGGUGGAAUGGGCGCGGCAGUACCUGACGAGCGAGCGCCGCAUCUCUCACAUCAUGGACGCGCAGCUCGGCGGCCAGUACUCCCUCGCCUGUGCGCAUAAGGCUGCCACACUGGUGCUCCAAUGCAUCUCGGUCCACCCAAGAGACCGACCGGGCAUGGAGCAGGUGGUGGCGGCACUGGAGCAGCUCCAGGACACCAAUGAGACUGGGGCGAGCGGUCAGAGUGAUGUACGGCUGGGUAUGGAGCAGGUGGUGGCGGUGCUGGGGCAGCAGCUUCAGGACGACAAGGAGACCGUGGCAAGCGGUCAGCAGAAGGUGAGUGGUGGUGGUGGCGGUGCCUGUGGCUUCUUCAGGAUGUGUGGCGGUGGCCGGCAGUAG
Molecule: ribosomal RNA, 1221 nt
Filed under: Triticum aestivum (bread wheat)
Lineage: Eukaryota; Viridiplantae; Streptophyta; Magnoliopsida; Poales; Poaceae
Description: partial small subunit ribosomal RNA
Source: RNAcentral